GAAACUAGGCGGCUUCACAGAUCUUGCACUGGGUCCCUGUGCCUGCCUGCCAUCGAGGAUCCAAAAUCUAAGGAUGAUGCUCGGAGUCCCACCACAGCCUGUCAGAGUUCACAUAGCGAAACCCAAAGCGCCUGCCCCUGUGACAUCAUAAAUUCAACCCACUGCUGGAGGAAUUCACGGAUACAGGAACCGUAAAUGCAGAGACGAGCUGGGAUUGCGUGUGCAGUGGGAACAGCCUCAGAAUAGCUCAUCAUCUAACAGAGCGCUGCGUCAGUGCAGAUACUGAGUGUUAAUUGUCAAGUUGGAGGUACCCAGAAGCACCUGAGAGAUGGGCUUCUGGGCAUGCCUGUGGGGGACGAUCAUAAAUGAACUGAUGCAGGAAGACCCAUCUGAACUGAGGGCAGGACCUGGUGUGGAUCCUGGACUGUAUAAAACGGAGCGAUGAAGCUAAGAGAAACAUGCCCUUCUUGCCUUCUGCUUCCUGAUUGUAGAUGGGAUGUGAUCAGCUGCAUCAGGAUCCUGCUACGGAUGCCCUUGCCUGAACCGUGAGCCAGAAUGAACCAUUUUCCCUUGA
This 574-nucleotide long non-coding RNA is filed under the name Mus musculus (house mouse). Its description in RNAcentral is "hexokinase 1, opposite strand, transcript variant 4 (Hk1os)". Lineage: Eukaryota; Metazoa; Chordata; Mammalia; Rodentia; Muridae. The record is from RNAcentral.